Molecule: ribosomal RNA, 254 nt
Filed under: uncultured bacterium
Lineage: Bacteria
Description: partial 16S ribosomal RNA
Rfam family: Bacterial small subunit ribosomal RNA
Source: RNAcentral
UACGUAGGGGGCGAGCGUUGUCCGGAUUCAUUGGGCGUAAAGAGCUCGUAGGCGGCUUGUCAAGUCGGGUGUGAAACCUCCAGGCUCAACCUGGAGACGCCACUCGAGACUGUCAUGGCUAGAGUCCGGUAGGGGAUCACGGAAUUCCUGGUGUAGCGGUGAAAUGCGCAGAUAUCAGGAAGAACACCCGUGGCGAAGGCGGCUUUCUGGGCCGACCCUGACGCUGAGGCGCGAAGGCGCGGGGAGCGAACGGG